GCGGGCUGGAGUCCCUCUAUGCUCGGCUUCAGCGGUGACCGAUCGAUCUCCGCGGUUGCUUGACUUGAGCUCCGAGGCCAAUCCCGAGGUAGCGGGGAGACAUGGAAACCGUUAGCUUGGAAGAACCGCGAAUCCUUCCUCGGUGUGGCAUCCGGUGCCCUAGAGCCGGGCGGGGGGCACAGAGCCCGGGCUCGACCUGCUCCUGCUUCUGGGUGGCGUGGGUUCCGCACGAGAGAGCUUCUUCUAGGUAGCAGGAGGAACCUGCAUGCGCCCCUCUGCGUCCUGCAGACCCUGCUGAUCUCAGUCAUGAGUCUAAUAAGAGAGAAGCCAUCCAUUUGGAAAGCAUUCAUUUGGAAAGGAAACCAUUGACACCUCUUAGAAAGACGAGAAAUACGGCUUAGGAACAGUGAGGCAUGAACAUUUCUGCCCCCAGGUCCCAUUAACUCAGGGGUGAGAAUAAAGAAAAAAAUAGUAAAUGCAUAUUUAUAUUCUAGAUGUUAUUUAUAAUGCCAACUUCUUACAUUGUUUACUUGAUUGCUAAGGAUUUUUGAAAUACAGAAUCCUCCAACAUGAUGUAUAGAAAAGAAAAACACUUGUUUUUUUUUUUUUUUCUUUUACCAGGCCAGAUAAACAAAUGGAUCAUUCUUUGUAUGGCCAAGCUAUUAUUGGACUGGACAUUGUUAUAUAUUAAUGGAGUUUUUUGUCUGAAUCUG
Molecule: non-coding RNA, 713 nt
Organism: Peromyscus maniculatus bairdii (prairie deer mouse)
Lineage: Eukaryota; Metazoa; Chordata; Mammalia; Rodentia; Cricetidae
Source: RefSeq, a predicted model, not a curated record